AAGACUAUAGACCUGCGGAGUACCUGCGGAGGGAUCAUUAUAGAGUGGUAAACCCCCCGUAAAAGGGGGGGACCUCCUGUCCUUUGUAGGCUCUUUUUUAAAAGGGCUUUUUUUAAUUUUCUGCUUCGGUGGGGUUAUCCCACCGGAACAACCUCAAAACUCUUAUCAAAAAAUCGUUCUGUCUGAGAACCUUUUAUAAUAAAAAAAAACUUUCAGCAAUGGAUCUCUAGAUCGGAAGAG
This 240-nucleotide unclassified non-coding RNA is filed under the name soil metagenome. Its description in RNAcentral is "partial contains 5.8S ribosomal RNA, internal transcribed spacer 2, and large subunit ribosomal RNA". The record is from RNAcentral.